CUCUUUAUUCCCAGCACUCUGAGGCUCGCACAUGGAAGCACUUCCUUCCAGAAGGUCUGUGAGAAUCUAAAACUCCUCUUUCAGAGCAGUGCAAGGGGGGAGGGCGGAGGAACACCAGAUGACCUCACCCAUUCAGAUGUAUUGAGUGCUUUACUCUGCCAGGCGCUGACCUCAUACUGGUAGAAAGGACAGAUAGGGAUCAUUGGGUGCCGUUUGUCCCUUAGAAUGAUCGGGAACGGGGACGGGGAGGGAGCAUCGCCUGCAGAAGAGGUGAAAAAUCCCAAAGAAAGAUCCCUAGUGUCGCCUCUUUCACUUUAAUCCUGGCACAGGAGGGCACGGAGAUGGAAGUGAGACGCCCUCAACCUCUUCUGGAGAGGAUGGUGUGACUACAGGCGCCGGACCUCCAACGUCAGCGCUGCCAGCGCGUGCGCCGUCAUUUCCGGCCAGCUGUUUUGGGCUGGAUGCGGAGGUGGCGGACAGAGCCUCAGGGCUGGGCGACUGUGUGACUCCAAGCUGUCAGAUUGGCUUUCAGAGCCUCAGCCGAGCUUAGCUGGCAGCCAGGAAGUUCCACUCCAGCGAGCUCCGAGCCUCUGUGUUCUGCCGAAGGGCCCAAGAGAUUCCAUCACUCUGGACAGGUCAGUGGCCCAGCUUCAGCCUUAACACCACGCCAGCCACCUGAGAUGUACAUUGAGAGUCAACUUUCUUCUACCAGCAUGUUUGGAAAAACAACAACAGAUGACAGCAUGACCCCUGCCCCAUCUCCAUGGGCUGACACAUGGCAUGUCCAUCCCUGCCUCUGGGAAGCAAAGUAUUGGAGGGAGCCAUGCUGAGAGCUUGGUGGAGGUGAAUAGGAGCUGGGUGACUCUCAAGCACCAAGGACACUUAACUCACCUCUGGAAGCAGCUUUAGUGACAAGGGACCAAGCGAGUCUUCUUGUUUGGGGUCUGCCUUUAAUUGCCCAAGCAAGUAAAGGGCUGGAGAAACGGCCCAAUGGUUAAGAAGUGUUUGCUGCUCUUUCAGAGGACUGGGAUUUGGUUCCCAGAACCAAUGUCAGGCAGCUCACAACUGCCUGUAACUCCAGCUCCAGAGGAUCUGACACCAGCUCCUGGCCUCUGUGCAUAACACCCAUAAUAUACAUUAAAAAUAAAUCUGGGGGAAGGUGGAAAUAAAUAAAGUAAAACAAAUCUCUCUUUUUUUUUUCUUUCCUCUAACAAGGAGGAUACCCUAUAGCCUCCUUACUGCCCAGGCUGGGGAAACCAAGGUGGCCAUCCUCAAACCUGAUCCUCAGCUCUUGCUUGCCUCUGGGACUUCUGCAAGGGCAGCUCUGGCUCAUGGGUCCCUUCCCACGGAGCUGCAGGAUGAAGAAAUGAUGUGUGGGAGCAGAUCAACUUACAAACACUCAGGGAAGCCCACCUGAGCUAACCCUUUAGAAUUCCAUCCCUCAAUCCGGGCGUCCCUCACACUCAGCUCCAGAUGGCUUCACCUCUGCCCAGUUGCUAGAGCUCAGUCUGUGUGAGCAUCAGUCUGAUACACCGGUUAAUUCAGGCGCUGUCAAUCAUGCACUCACUCCACCACCGUCAUCUCUGCCCUUCUCUCCCCACAGCCUUGCCCAGCCCACAGUUACGGCCAUUCUAGGCCAUUGCGAAAGUUCCUAGGCCUAUCUUGCCUCUCUGCAACCCCA
Molecule: long non-coding RNA, 1681 nt
Filed under: Cricetulus griseus (Chinese hamster)
Lineage: Eukaryota; Metazoa; Chordata; Mammalia; Rodentia; Cricetidae
Description: lncRNA (ENSCGRG00000025119.1)
Source: RNAcentral